Molecule: ribosomal RNA, 2120 nt
Filed under: Orbilia carpoboloides
Lineage: Eukaryota; Fungi; Ascomycota; Orbiliomycetes; Orbiliales; Orbiliaceae
Description: eukaryotic LSU rRNA
Rfam family: Eukaryotic small subunit ribosomal RNA (bases 1-546)
Source: RNAcentral
UGAGAGCUCUUUCUUGAUUAUGUGGGUGGUGGUGCAUGGCCGUUCUUAGUUGGUGGAGUGAUUUGUCUGCUUAAUUGCGAUAACGAACGAGACCUUAACCUGCUAAAUAGCCAGGCUAGCUUUUGCUGGUCGCCGGCUUCUUAGAGGGACUAUCGGCUCAAGCCGAUGGAAGUUUGAGGCAAUAACAGGUCUGUGAUGCCCUUAGAUGUUCUGGGCCGCACGCGCGCUACACUGACAGAGCCAACGAGUAUAAACCUUAACCGAGAGGUUUGGGUAAUCUUGUUAAACUCUGUCGUGCUGGGGAUAGAGCAUUGCAAUUAUUGCUCUUCAACGAGGAAUAUCUAGUAAGCGCGAGUCAUCAGCUCGCGUUGAUUACGUCCCUGCCCUUUGUACACACCGCCCGUCGCUACUACCGAUUGAAUGGCUCAGUGAGGCCUUCGGACUGGCUCAGGGAGGUCGGCAACGACCACCCAGAGCCGGAAAGUUGGUCAAACUUGGUCAUUUAGAGGAAGUAAAAGUCGUAACAAGGUUUGGAUAAGAUCCUUCUGAGGUGACGCUUAUGAGAAGCCUUUGUGGCCCUGCAAAGGGUACUAACCGCGACUGUAAAAAAUGAAUGUUGGUAUUAAAUCGCAAGUCAGUUUACACUGGCAACACUUUCGAAUUGCGGGGACACCCUAAAGCCUUUCUCUACCAACUUAUCAGGGAAAUCUGAUGUGGGCCUAUGCUAAUAACAUAGGGUAUGGUAAUAACGAGAAUUAGGAUAUACGUAUUCCGUAUUAUGGGCCAUCCGCAGCCAAGUCUCUAAGGCAGUUUUGCUAUGAGAAAGGUUCACAGACUAAGUGGAAGUGGGUUACCUAGUAACUUAAGAUAUAGUCGGGCUCAUUGGGAAACCAUUGAGGAGUCACUCAAGUAGUGGAAUAAAACCGUUCCGUAGGUGAACCUGCGGAAGGAUCAUUAUUAAACACUCUUUGGGCAACCAAAGUUUUAAACCCUUUGUGAACUAAAAACCUUUCUAGCUUCGGCAGCUUUGCAGCUCUGGUUGCAAGUCAGCCUGCCGGUAGCGCCAAACCAAACUCGUUUUUAUAAACUCAGUCUGAAUCAAAAUUUUCGAAUGAAAAUUAAAACUUUCAACAACGGAUCUCUUGGUUCUCGCAUCGAUGAAGAACGCAGCGAAACGCGAUAGUUAAUGUGAAUUGCAGAAUUCAGUGAAUCAUCGAGUCUUUGAACGCACAUUGCGCCCUUUGGUAUUCCGAAGGGCAUGUCUGUUUGAGCGUCAUUUCACACCCUCGCUGGCUAGCUUUUGUUAGGUCAAGCGGUUUUGGAGUGGUCGAACGGUUGGGUAACUAACCAUCUCCCUCUUAAAUGUGAAUGCUAAUGUCGACCUGACCUGAAAAUCUUACGUAGUAAUAUUCUUGCAACCGUUUGAUGGAAAGGGAAAGGGCUGACCUGAAUAAAUGACAACUGAACCUCUCUAGGUUUGACCUCAGAUCAGAUAAGGAUACCCGCUGAACUUAAGCAUAUCAAUAAGCGGAGGAAAAGAAACCAACAGGGAUUGCCUCAGUAACGGCGAGUGAAGCGGCAACAGCUCAAAUUUGAAAUCUGAAACCUUUAGUUUCCGAGUUGUAAUUUGAAGAGGAUGUUUCGGUUGUGACCGUGGCCUAAGUUCCUUGGAACAGGACGUCGUAGAGGGUGAGAAUCCCGUACACGGCUGACGGUUUACUUCCAUGUGUAACUCCUUCGAAGAGUCGAGUUGUUUGGGAAUGCAGCUCAAAAUGGGUGGUAAAUUUCAUCUAAAGCUAAAUACUGGCGAGAGACCGAUAGCGCACAAGUAGAGUGAUCGAAAGAUGAAAAGCACUUUGAAAAGAGAGUUAAACAGUACGUGAAAUUGUUGAAAGGGAAGCGUUUGCAAUCAGACUUGCUUGCGGUUGAUCAACGUUCCUUCUGGUUCGUGCACUCUGCCGUUUGCAGGCCAGCAUCGGUUAGGGCGGUGGGACAAAGACUCUGAGAAUGUGGCUCUCUUCGGGGAGUGUUAUAGCUCAGUGUGUAAUGCCACCAGUCCUGACCGAGGUCCGCGCUUUUGCUAGGAUGCUGGCAUAAUGGUUGUAAACGACCCGUCUUGA